Long non-coding RNA from Monopterus albus (swamp eel), 393 nucleotides. RefSeq lists it as uncharacterized. The transcript has 3 exons. The record is from RefSeq and is a predicted model, not a curated record. Lineage: Eukaryota; Metazoa; Chordata; Actinopteri; Synbranchiformes; Synbranchidae.
AGAAGCUAGAGACAAACCUAAGGCUAGGAAACCAACCCCCAGUGCAGGGGCCACUUACUACUGUAAUGCCUUAAACCUUCCUAUGCCAACAGGUGGUUCUGGAGGAUUUAAUUACAGUGCUGUCUCUGGUUCUCCCUUCACCCGGUUGCCUUGUGACAGUUUUACAUCCAGCCUUUUACAAGUCGACUUGGACAGGCGCUGUCUGGAGGAAUGUCCUCAGCUGGGUGUUAGGGAUGAAUUACAACUUCUCAGCCUCCAGCACAAUCUCAUCACAAGGAUCCAGCAUUUGUCACAUCUGCAACAUCUUGUCUUCCUGAACUUGUAUAACAAUCACGUCUCUGAAAUGACUGGCAUUGAAGCUCUAAGCUCUCUCAGGAUCCUAAUGCUAGGGAA